RNAcentral lists this ribosomal RNA (314 nucleotides) under uncultured eukaryote. Its description in RNAcentral is "partial 18S ribosomal RNA". It matches the Rfam family "Eukaryotic small subunit ribosomal RNA", at positions 1470 to 1796 of the family's 1831-position model. The record is from RNAcentral.
CCCCUAGAUGUUCUGGGCCGCACGCGCGCUACACUGACGAAUGCAACGAGCUUAUAACCUUGGCCGAAAGGUCUGGGUAAUCUCCAAAUUUCGUCGUGAUGGGGAUAGAUUAUUGCAAUUAUUAAUCUUCAACGAGGAAUGCCUAGUAAGCGCAAGUCAUCAGCUUGCGUUGAUUACGUCCCUGCCCUUUGUACACACCGCCCGUCGCACCUACCGAUUGAAUGGUCCGGUGAAGCCUCCGGAUUGGCGCGCACCUCGGUGCCGCCGAGAAGUUGGCUAAACCUUACCAUUUAGAGGAAGGUGAAGUCGUANCA